CGAGUGAAGCGGCACAGCUCAAAUUUGAAAUCUGGCCUCUUUGGGGUCCGAGUUGUAAUUUGUAGAGGAUGUUUCGGGCACCGCUCCGGUUUAAAUUUCUUGGAACAGAAUGUCAAAGAGGGUGAGAACCCCGUCUUGGACCGGCAGUAGGGCCCAUGUGAAACUCCUUCGACGAGUCGAGUUGUUUGGGAAUGCAGCUCAAAAUGGGUGGUAAAUUUCAUCUAAAGCUAAAUAUUGGCCAGAGACCGAUAGCGCACAAGUAGAGUGAUCGAAAGAUGAAAAGCACUUUGAAAAGAGAGUUAAACAGUACGUGAAAUUGUUGAAAGGGAAGCGCUUGCAACCAGACUUGCGCGCGGCGGUUCCCCCUUCCUUUUGGUUGGGUUAUUCCGCCGUGUCCAGGCCAACAUCGGUUCUGGGGGUCGGUUAAAGGCCUGGGGAAU
This 440-nucleotide ribosomal RNA is filed under the name Exophiala dermatitidis. Its description in RNAcentral is "eukaryotic LSU rRNA". It matches the Rfam family "Eukaryotic large subunit ribosomal RNA", at positions 90 to 535 of the family's 3401-position model. The record is from RNAcentral. Lineage: Eukaryota; Fungi; Ascomycota; Eurotiomycetes; Chaetothyriales; Herpotrichiellaceae.